This 1426-nucleotide ribosomal RNA is filed under the name uncultured bacterium. RNAcentral describes it as "bacterial SSU rRNA". It matches the Rfam family "Bacterial small subunit ribosomal RNA". The record is from RNAcentral.
AGAGUUUGAUCCUGGCUCAGGAUGAACGCUAGCUACAGGCCUAACACAUGCAAGUCGAGGGGAAACGGCAGCUUAGCUUGCUAAGCUGGACGUCGACCGGCGCACGGGUGAGUAACGCGUAUCCAACCUGCCCCACGGUGAGGGAUAACCCGCGGAAACGCGGCCUAAUACCUCAUGGUCUCCGAGUUUGCCAUCAACCUUGGAGUAAAGAUUCAUUGCCGUGGGAUGGGGAUGCGUCUGAUUAGCUUGUUGGCGGGGCAACGGCCCACCAAGGCAACGAUCAGUAGGGGUUCUGAGAGGAAAGCCCCCCACAUUGGAACUGAGACACGGUCCAAACUCCUACGGGAGGCAGCAGUGAGGAAUAUUGGUCAAUGGGCGAGAGCCUGAACCAGCCAAGUAGCGUGCAGGAUGACGGCCCUAUGGGUUGUAAACUGCUUUUAUGCGGGGAUAAAGCGGGCGACGUGUCGCCCUUUGCAGGUACCGCAUGAAUAAGGACCGGCUAAUUCCGUGCCAGCAGCCGCGGUAAUACGGAAGGUCCGGGCGUUAUCCGGAUUUAUUGGGUUUAAAGGGAGCGCAGGCCGGGUAUUAAGCGUGUUGUGAAAUGUAGGCGCCCAACGUCUGCACCGCAGCGCGAACUGGUGCCCUUGAGUACGCACGACGUUGGCGGAAUUCGCCGUGUAGCGGUGAAAUGCUUAGAUAUGGCGAAGAACUCCGAUUGCGAAGGCAGCUGACGGGAGCGCUACUGACGCUCAUGCUCGAAAGCGCGGGUAUCGAACAGGAUUAGAUACCCCUGGUAGUCCCGCGCGGUAAAACGAUGGAUGCCCGCUAUUUUGCGCGUUUAGCGCAAGUGGGCCAAGUGGAAAACGUUAAGCAUCCCACCCUGGGGGAGUACGCCCGGCAACGGGGGAAACUCCAAAGGAAUUUGACGGGGGGCCCGCACAAACCGGAGGGAACAAUGGGGGUUUAAAUUCCAAUGAUAAACCCGAGGGAACCUUUACCCCGGGGUUUGAAUUUGCCAAAGGGAAAGAUCCAGAGAUGGUGAUGCCCUUCGGGGCCUCUGUGAAGGUGCUGCAUGGUUGUCGUCAGCUCGUGCCGUGAGGUGUCGGCUUAAGUGCCAUAACGAGCGCAACCCCUCUCCAUAGUUGCCAUCAGGUAAUGCUGGGCACUCUGUGGACACUGCCACCGUAAGGUGCGAGGAAGGUGGGGAUGACGUCAAAUCAGCACGGCCCUUACGUCCGGGGCUACACACGUGUUACAAUGGGGGGUACAGAGAGUCGGGACAACGCGAGUUGCCCCCAAUCAUUAAAGCCCCCCUCAGUUCGGACUGGGGUCUGCAACCCGACCCCACGAAGCUGGAUUCGCUAGUAAUCGCGCAUCAGCCAUGGCGCGGUGAAUACGUUCCCGGGCCUUGUACACACCGCCCGUC